Molecule: ribosomal RNA, 252 nt
Filed under: uncultured bacterium
Lineage: Bacteria
Description: partial 16S ribosomal RNA
Rfam family: Bacterial small subunit ribosomal RNA
Source: RNAcentral
ACGGAGGGUGCAAGCGUUAAUCGGAAUUACUGGGCGUAAAGCGCGCGUAGGCGGUAUUGUAAGUGGGAUGUGAAAGCCCCGGGCUCAACCUGGGAACUGCAUUCCAAACUGCAAAACUAGAGUAUGGUAGAGGGAAGUGGAAUUUCAGGUGUAGCGGUGAAAUGCGUAGAGAUCUGAAGGAACACCAGUGGCGAAGGCGACUUCCUGGACCAAUACUGACGCUGAGGUGCGAAAGCGUGGGGAGCAAACAGG